Molecule: long non-coding RNA, 208 nt
Filed under: Elaeis guineensis (African oil palm)
Lineage: Eukaryota; Viridiplantae; Streptophyta; Magnoliopsida; Arecales; Arecaceae
Description: long non-coding RNA (EGUI_LNC039722)
Source: RNAcentral
UCGGAUAGAUACUUCGAUUUCUAGAUUGAAGAUGAGGAUUAGAUCUCCCAAAUGGAUGCCAUGCAGGGAUCUAACUUUGAGAAGUGGCUUGGAGCCAUUAAAUCUAAAAUGAAGUCCAUGAAGAUCGAUAAUAUAUAGACAUUCAUUGAUUCACCUGAAGGGAUAAGACCCAUAGGAUGUAAGUAGAUUUUAGAUGGAUAAGAGGCAC